AAUAGGGCGCUUUAGUUGCUAGUAAUAGACCCGAAACCGGGCGAUCUAGCCAUGGCCAGGUUGAAGGUUGAGUAACAUCAACUGGAGGCGCGAACCCACCUAUGUUGAAAAAUGGGGGGAUGAGCUGUGGAUCGGAGUGAAAGGCUAAUCAAACCGGGAGAUAGCUGGUUCUCCUCGAAAUCUAUUUAGGUAGAGCCUCAUGAAUAACCACUGGGGGUAAAGCACUGUGUCGGCUAGGGGGUCAUCCCGACUUACCA
This 257-nucleotide ribosomal RNA is filed under the name Oxyrrhis marina. Its description in RNAcentral is "partial Bacterial large subunit ribosomal RNA". It matches the Rfam family "Bacterial large subunit ribosomal RNA", at positions 686 to 941 of the family's 2925-position model. The record is from RNAcentral. Lineage: Eukaryota; Dinophyceae; Oxyrrhinales; Oxyrrhinaceae.